UAUAUUAUACUUCAACUGUAACUAACUAGAAAAAUGUUGAAGGAUUAACAUAAAUUCUUUCAUAGACAUACCAUCGCCAAUAUAAUGCCCCUCUGAAAAUUAAAUACCAGUCACUAGUCUGUCAACACUGAGGUUGUGAGUUGAUAUCUGCAUUCAACUUCUAUCUUAUUUGGCUAGGAUUGCAGAAGGUUAGUGGUUCUUACAGGCACACUGACUUCCUCCACCGAUAAAAACUGACCGCCACAGAAGGUUAGUGGUUCUCACAGGCACACUGACUUCCUCCACCGAUAAAAACUGACCGCCACAGAAGGUUAGUGGUUCUUACAGGCACACUGACUUCCUCCACUGAUAAAAACUGACCGCCACAGAAGGUUAGUGGUUCUCACAGGCACACUGACUUCCUCCACCGAUAAAAACUGACCGCCACAAAAUAGCCAACAGUGCUGAAAGUGGCAAAUUGAAAAAAAAACUUUUAAUUAUGAAAUUUUAAUAGACAAAGAAAAGGUCCCCUUUGAUGAUAAUAUUUUUCUUGUUUGUUGAUACUUGACCAUAUUAUUAAAAAUUUAUCAAUUCAUAGCACAUCACAUUUCUUUUGGCCUUUGGGAUUUUUUUACAGCAUGGUCCAUUUUUAUUGUACUGGUUUUUAGAUUUCCCAGAGUUAUUGGUCUUGAUUUGUCAAAUGUUGAGAUUGUUGGUGUGUAUUGAGGUCGAUUGUUGCUAUCAUGAUGUUUAAGGUAUAAUGGGACCAGUAAUUUUUUUUUUUGUUAUGAAUGUGCAUGUUAUUACUGACAUAUGGGUGAAUAGUUAUUUUCAGUAUGUCAUGGGUUUUUUCCUUAGCCUUUUUUUUAUUUAUUUGUUUAAUGAAUAAACCCUCUUUUCCAAAGUCUUCCCUCUUGGGCAAGUGAGCCUAACAUAUGUCAUGAUUCUAGAUAGUCUCAAGUAGGUAAAUAAUUUGACAGAGAACUGUGCACAGAAUUAGUGCCUAUGUUUAUCAUGUCUGUUGUGUUUAUUUUUUAAGCCAGUUCAUGUAACUGGUAUGCCAGUUCAUGAAAGUGGAUAAGAGUAUAUUAAUUCACCUUUUUUUUUUUUACAUUUUUUAUUUCCAUCUGAUUUUGGUUAAUUUAAGUGUUUAGGUUCAUUUCUCAGAAACACCAAGUCAUCCUGAAAAUGCCUGAAAUGAUGUCAAUUAAACAACAAUCAAUUAAAUAACGUCAGGAUACCCAAAUUGCACCUAUUUAACAUGAACAGCUGAGAAAUUCUUAAAAGUUUUCUUUGAGACCAAACAAUUUGUAUUUGGAUUAUUUGACAUUGUACACAUCUUACAGAAUUUGUGUAUAUAUUCAAAUAUACAUUAAAAAGUUCACAAUUCAUAUCAACAGCUGAAGUGUUUACUGAAAAAGCAAAACGUACGGAAACGUCGCCAUACGACGUCAUUAAACGUCAUCUUUUUAAAAUAAGCAAAUACAACAUGUUACAUUAAUAUUUCUCCUCAUAAUCUUGCCAUAUGGGAAAACACACAAUUCAACUACAUUUGGGUGAUUCAACCUUAAUUUAUACUUUAAAAACCUACAGUAUGAUAAAUACAUCUGAAUGCCUAUUAUGGUAUAAAUUUUAGGUCAACAAGGAAGAUAAAGCACUCAAAUAAAAUAAUUAAAGUUAUAUUUACCUGGCUUCCAGGAUGUCCUUAUCUUCUAGGAUGAUACCAGUUUGAUUUGUAGGUUGUUUAUUAUUUAUUUGUUGAUGAGAUUUUAUCCCUAUAAGUGCUAUUUCUAAACUAUCCAAUCAUUCUAGUUAUUUGUUAUAUUACCAACAUUUACACCAGUGUAUAUUUCACCAAAGAGAGUGUUUGUUAUUUAUCAUUGUUUUGUUAUAGCUGGUUGUUAUUUGGUUUGUCAGUUAAUAUCGCAUAUCAAUUAGAAUUUUAAAGUUCUUACUUUGCUCAUCAGAAAGAAAAUGUAGAUUUUGUAUAUAAUAUUUCAAUUAAGUAAUUGUUGUGUGUUUAAUAUUAAAUGAUGUAUAUAAAAUUUCUACUUCUGUUAAAGCUAGAUAUACACAUUUAUAUUGUGGAACUGUCUAUUUACCUAGCCUUGUUUAAAUAGGGAUACAAGAAAAAUAGAAACAUAUUUAUAAAUAUUUUUAAGAACUGUUUCUAAUAUAAUGCUAUUAGUAAUUAGCUAUUUUCAGUCAUAAUACUGGGUACUACUAAGAUUAUUCAUAUUUUUUAUGAUCUCAGAAAUUUUUAGAAGACAUUUUAGUUCCAUUUAAUUUUGUUAUAUUUUUCUGAAUAUGAGGAAUGUUACAUUAGACCAUAAUUACCUAAUAUAUAGACUGUCAAUCAAUGAAAGGUUCACAAAUAACUAACUGAAGAAAAGUUACCUGUAUUUAGACAAACAGUAAUGCCAUCCUAUUGAAUACUUUUGAAUACUAAUUGAAAGUAUGGAUCUAUUCUAAGUUUUGUAAAAAAAGGGUUGAAGUUUAAAUCAUUUCAUGUCAUUUGUUGACAAAGAUUUUUGUCACACAAAUUUGUUUUUGGUAUGCAUGGGAGUGGUUGACCUCAAGGUGUAUAUCUUUUUUCUUGUUCGUGUGAUAUUUUCCUCCUAGCUAUAGGCCAUAUUUAAUACACAUCUCAACCAAACCAUGAUGAAAUAUAUAUUUCUCUAAACGGAUCUCAUAUCAUAUAGAUUUUUUUUUUUACUUUUUUGUAUUCACCAUCAUUUUUAAAAGUUUUUAUUUUUAGAUCAGUAAUCUUUUUAUGUCUGUGCCAUAUUUUGUUAUGUAUAUUUUGAACAAGCAAUUGUGUAAACCCUUCUUCAAAGCUUUAUCUAUAAUUAUGUUUACAGUAAAUGAAAAUCAAGUCUGUGCCAUAAAAAAUUUAAAAGUAAGGUCUAUAUAUCAAAUAUAUUGUCAUUCAUAUUUAAUGAAACACCACAAAGGGUCCCAAUUAUGCUUUUUGGCCUAUUGAUACUUUUUGAAAUCUGUCUGUGUGCUUAUCGAAUAGAUUUAAGGUAGAUUUUUCAGUAUUUGAGGGUUUUUUUUAUAUAUUGCAAAAGACUUAUGAUUUCAAAACCCUUUAAAAAGGACAAAGAGUAGAAUACCAACACCACACCAACAGAUAUAAGUAGAUGACAGACAUAGUGCAAACUGAAAGUAUCCAGCAUAUUGAUUCAUAAUUAACACCAUCUAUAACUACCCUGUUGUCCAUGUUGCUGUGGUUUCAAGCAGUGUCGGUCUUCUUCCCAGUCUUCUUGAAACAGAGUAUCUGGAAUUGGAACUUUAAAAACUUGUGGCAUGCAAUUAUAUGACUAAAACACUAGAAAUGUAAUGCAUAAUCAUGAUUUAAUACUGACACAGAAAAAAUAACUUAUCUGAUACGUCAGACAUUCCAGAAUUUUAGGACUCUUGUAAACUUUCAUAUUUGUGCUUUUUUAAUGUAAAAAAAGAAGAAAAAAGUAGACUUUUCAAUAUUCUGAAGUGUAUAUAUAUUUUUCUAACAAAUUGCUAUAUAAAUUGUUAGUACAAGUGCAUCCAUUCCAUUAUGUUGUGAAUACUUGCCUUCCAUGACACAACAUCAUUUUAGUAUC
This 3581-nucleotide long non-coding RNA is filed under the name Mytilus galloprovincialis (Mediterranean mussel). The record is from RNAcentral. Lineage: Eukaryota; Metazoa; Mollusca; Bivalvia; Mytilida; Mytilidae.